This 86-nucleotide transfer RNA is filed under the name Planctomycetaceae bacterium. RNAcentral describes it as "tRNA-Val". It matches the Rfam family "tRNA". Rfam says of the family: Transfer RNA (tRNA) molecules are approximately 80 nucleotides in length. The record is from RNAcentral. Lineage: Bacteria; Pseudomonadati; Planctomycetota; Planctomycetia; Planctomycetales; Planctomycetaceae.
GGGCCCGUGGUGGAAUCGGCAGACGCACUCACCUGACACGUGGGUGCUCCGCAAGGAGCGUGGGGGUUCAAAUCCCCCCGGGCCCA